This is a small nuclear RNA of Scomber japonicus (chub mackerel), 102 nucleotides long. NCBI's taxonomy places the organism in Eukaryota, Metazoa, Chordata, Actinopteri, Scombriformes, Scombridae. The record is from RefSeq and is a predicted model, not a curated record.
GUACUUGCCAAGGCAGUACAUAUGAAAAAUUGGAAUCGAUACAGAGAAGAUUAGCAUGGCCCCUAGAUCAAGCGUAGUAUCUGUUCUUAUCUUUUCUCUUUU